UUCCCCCGCCUUCCUGGAAUGGAAAUUUUCCUAUUACCCAAAUGAAAAAAGAUUGACAAAAAGCUAAGGGUGUAGCUGACAGGUUCCGAGAUAAGUGAACAAUUAGUUGACCAAACUGUUGACAGGUUUUUCACUUGCCUAAAGCAGGAAUACGAAGGCUGAUGUUAUGUUCUAACUCUAGGAUCCACUGACUCUCCCAGAGUUGUUCAAUGAAGCCUGAUUGAAAGUCCACUAGGCUUAGCGCAGCUGUCCGAAUGAACGGAGAGCCACAGGCUUGACAGCACCAACAGAUACUUCAUAAUCCCGAUGACCUCAUUAGAGUUUGCUACAUUUGCGGAGGAUUUGAGACGCGGUCAAAAUGUGGGCUUGAAAUGAAAUAAGCACACCAAGGACUGGAGCUAAACACGCGCCCUUUUUUGUUGCCUCCCCAGAACUCAGAAGUGACAGGAACCUGGUGCUGAAUACAUGAUUAUUGACUGACCAACUGCCAGCCUGGAACAAAACAGCUGUCUGCUCCUGCUUUGGAGCCUGCCCUGUCUUUUACUUCCUCCACACACACAAAAAAGAAUCCAUUUCUAAAUGUGAGCAGGAAAGCUGAAAGAAUAUGUCAAUGGUAUCGGAAAGCCAGAGCCAAACUUUGUCAGGAGUUGGAGCCACGUGCCAAGAGCAACAGGUCAACCAAUUUCCAGAAAGCCAAGAAAGGACUUUGCUAAUGAGAGAGUUUGGGCAGAGGCAACAGAACAUUUGACUAAAUCAGCUUCUGAAAUUAAAAUAAGAGACCAACAGAAAGGAUGAGUAUAAGAUCAAAAAGGAGAUAAUGACUGCGUUCAGUAGAUCUGGAAAAUGGGGUGCCUGCUGCAGCCCUGGAGCUAGAAGGGCUCCAGCUCCUAACAUGCUAAGGAAGGCAAUAAGGGCUCCCAUGGCAUGGCUAUGGAUUGGAAUGCAGGUCCAUGAUCCCGUUCUCCCACUUCUUAUGAAGAGGGGGACUUGGGGAUGAUUACAGCUCUGUCCUAUAGAUGGUGCCUAAGGUAAGCCUACAUAGCUGAGACCGCACAGCUGAAUUCCAUCUUCCAUGGGGGAUGGCCAAUGAUGGGCUUCACUUCUAACCAUCCAAGCACUAUCAGCUCACAUGGAUUAGGUCCCACCAUGAACACUCUAGUUUCACAGCCCUUUUCAGGGUUGCACAAAAUAUAUUUGCAUGUAAUCAUCAUGGCAA
Monodelphis domestica (gray short-tailed opossum) is the source of this 1216-nucleotide long non-coding RNA. RefSeq lists it as uncharacterized. The record is from RefSeq and is a predicted model, not a curated record. Lineage: Eukaryota; Metazoa; Chordata; Mammalia; Didelphimorphia; Didelphidae.